Molecule: long non-coding RNA, 3300 nt
Filed under: Mus pahari (shrew mouse)
Lineage: Eukaryota; Metazoa; Chordata; Mammalia; Rodentia; Muridae
Description: predicted gene 29536 (MGP_PahariEiJ_G0005973.1)
Source: RNAcentral
AAACUGUUUACUCUCUAUUCCAGAAAACGUCUGACUUUGCUUUUUGAAAGAGAACAAUGGAUACCUUCCCCUUCCCAGGAGGACUUGCUGAUUUCAGAGGGUUUCACAAACAUCCUUGCUGCUACAGAAGGCAGAGCUGGCAUUCCUUUUCUUAGGUGCUUAUUUCAUGCGUUUUGAAAGAGGAAUGGCGUGGCUUGGAGCCCAGAGCCUCAAUCGAUCACAAGAAGACCCGGUGCAAUUGCUUCCUGCUGCAGUUUCCAGAAGCAGAGUCUCAGCUGAAAGCAAGAUGUGCUAACAUCUAUCAAAGGAUCAGGCAGCAGGGAGACCAAAAAACAACGGAGGAGCCAAGACUCCAGCCCCUGCUUUGAGCAUUCAUAACAGUGGAGAGACAGAAACUUACUUUCUGUUCAGAGUGCUUCCUUCAUCUGCUGUGCAUGGUCUAUCAGGACCAAUGCCAGAAGGCUUCUGAAUCAAUCCUGAGGACAAAGCUUACUUUAUACAGGAUUACCAGGAGAAAAGAGCUCCUGAUCUGAGUGCACAUGAGUCCCUGACAAUUUUCUGAUAUCUUCUGGUUCAUUCCUUCCCUCUUUAUGCAUAAAGCUCUACAGACAAGUUACCGAGUAUCUGCAGUUGGCUCCAUCCCUUGCUCACUCCCACCAAAACUCCUCUUCUUAACCAUACUCACAGCCAAAAAGACACCAUCGUCCUGACUUGGUAACUAGACACUAGGGAAAAGGGAGGCAAAAAGGAAAAACUGAGUUCAAAGACUAGGGCUGAGUGGGAUGGGUUUGAGGUUUGGAUCGGAUCCAGUUCUCUGAUUUUGGGAUUCAUUCUCAAGGACAAAGACAUGAAUCCUGGGAAUUCUCAGAGGGAACAGUAGAAUUAUUUCACUCUUUCAGAGGGCACCCAAAGAAGGACAUCGUGUAGCUGGGCAGUGUCAGGUGGGGGGAAACCCUCAGAAACCAGUGGUCCAGGGAAUAUUUUCUGUAGUUGGCUGCUACUAUAUUGGGGUGACUGGUUGUGGAGAACUUCAACUGAAGAAGAGGAAGGGAUUUUCUUAGAGAUCACCCCACCCUGCCCUUCUAUGUACAGACAAGAACAAGGGAAUUCACUCUUAAAACAUCUUAUCCAAAAUUGAAUAUCAAAUAAUCACUCUUACACCUCCUAUACAGUCAAGGCCUAAGGAAGAAGUAAAUUAAACAGUUACCUACAUGUGCCUUCACAGACCUAAAUAAAUACCCAAUGUUUCCUACCAUGCAGCCUCCAACUAAUUGUGUAGAAGGCAAAGGUUGAGAGAAGAGAGAGAACAGAAGAUAGAAGAGCAAAGAAAGAAAAUACAGAAUACUGUACAGACGUUAAAAUGAAUAUAGAUGUAUAGAUCUAUGUGUUAGAAGUAACACAUACAUUAAACAAUUAAAAUAUGUCCCUAAAAGAAAUAAGACAAUUACUCUAAAAGAAUUGGACACCCUCCUCUCACGACCUCCUUCUCUCUUUUGGUGUGAUAUUGUUUAUAUAGAGAGAGUGAUGCACAGAGAAAGAGCAAACUAAAUAGGAGGAUAAGUCAAUAGAUAGAUGGACAAACAGAUGGAGAAACGGACAUUCCGACAGAUGAAUGAGAAGUUGUUAUUAUCAGCCAAGACAUGUCCAUGAGACAGUUUUCUUAAUGUUUGCAAUGAUCCAUCCUACAGUUGAGAUGUCGGAGACAUGGAGAGCCAGAGUCUGUAAAGCUACUAGGUAGCAAGCCCUAGAGGUGAGUGCGGGUGCCUCUGACUCCAGCAUCAUGAUGACCACUUCGCCAUGAUGGCACUUAACAUAAAGAGGCUAAGAGCAUUUCAAGGUUAAAAAUCCUUCCUUGAGAAACCCAAAGGAUAAUGGAACUCAAGGGGCAGAGGGAAUAAAGUAAGUGAAAGAACAAAACAAGACGUUUGUAGAGAAGACAGGGAAACAAACAUCCCCCAGGAGACCUCCACGGUCAGCCUGACUUCAUCCUACAGCUCAAGGGGGCAUCUGUCUCAGAGGGAAAAUCAAAUUUCUUCCCACACAUACAGAGUGGCUGAGAGAUUUUGAGUCUGCCAACCACUGUGCAUCGCAAGUCUCCUCUAUCUGUUCUGCCUUUGAUUUUUCUGUUAAGGUUCAAAUCCAGGGUCUUAGCUCUGCUCUUCACGAACUCUUCCACUGAGCUACAAUCCCCAGUUCAUCCCUCCUGCUUUAAUUUGGAUCAGUUGAGACUUCAGCACAGAAGCAUAAACACCUUCUAAUUUCUCUACUCUGGGAGUCCUGGGAACCAAACUCAGAUCAUCAAGCUUGGUGACAAGCACCUUUACCCACAGACCCUUCUCACCACCCUGUAUUUGUACUUAUAAAAAGUUAAUAAUGACACAAAAGUUGUAGGGCUUAAGGAAAUUCACUCUUAUAACAUCUUAUCCAAAAUAGAAUAUCAAAUAAUUACUCUUACAUCUCCUGUGCAGUCAAGCUUCAACUCGUCUUUAUUUGAAAAUUGUGUGGGUAGACUGGGAUGAAAACUCUAUGCUGUUUAACCAUCUGCUGUAGGUCUCUUGGUCUUAGCAUUGAGGUUGUGGUUAAAUGACACAUAUUUUACAUUUAAAUAUUUGAAAACAUGACCAUCAUUGUUGAGAAACCUUUAGGCCGAUUUCUCUGGCGAGGUUUUUUUUCUAUCUUUCCCAUAGAUUCACCUUUGAUCAUACAUACAGCCCCCAAGAUGCUCAUUUCAAUAGUUUUAGUAGCAUAAGAAAUGAAACUCAAAUUGCCAGAAUAUAUACACUAGAGGCAAUCUAUGAGAGCUAGCUACUUCAUGGUGCAGAAGAGGAAGCUGGGACCCAAGAGAAAGUCUUUUCCUGGAAUAAACAAUAGUGCCUGUCUUGGGCACAUUGCUCUAUGGUGCUUAGGACAAACUCUUCAGUGAGCAACACAAGGCUGGAUGGCUUUAAGUCUCAGGAUACUUCAUCUUCCUUGGGUGUAAUUCUGCUUCUGUAAUGACUAAGGUCAACAUGGCAUCUUGCCUGGUAUCAUAACUUGGGCCAAAAACCCGUAGCUGGAUAAGUCAUAGACUUUGGGAGAACCAAGUACUAUUAUCAUGCUAAAUGGACAUAGUAACAAACUGUAACCUAAGUUCUUGUCUUUAUACCCAUAGAUUAGAGCAUCUCAUUAGAGAAGCUUCUUUUGCAAGUUAAUAAAGAAAACCACAACUAAUCAUGGUACAGAGAACAAGAGACUUUGGAGUGCUUACCUCUAAAUGGGACUCGGCAUUGCAAUCCCUCCCCCCCAAGAAUCGGGGUCAUC